This 957-nucleotide ribosomal RNA is filed under the name Triticum aestivum (bread wheat). RNAcentral describes it as "partial small subunit ribosomal RNA". Lineage: Eukaryota; Viridiplantae; Streptophyta; Magnoliopsida; Poales; Poaceae. The record is from RNAcentral.
AUGGCCGAGUCAGCCAUUAGCAUCGUGCUCGGCAAUGUCAACGCACUUGCAGUUCGGGAGACCACAAUGUUGUGUUGUGUCACCCUCGAAGUGGAGCUCCUGAAGGACGAGCUCAAGCGGCUGCGAGGCUUCCUUAGAGACGCCGACAACAAAUGGAGGCGGGGAGAUGAAAGUACUGCUGUCUUGGUCGGCCAGAUCAGAGAAGUGGCGUAUGAUGCUGACAAUGCCAUCGAAGCCGCUGAGUACAUGCAGAAGAGAAACAGAUUGAAGAAGGGGUUCAUGGGUACCAUUUCAAGGUAUUCUCGCCUACAAAGUGAUUUGACUAACCUUCACAAAGUUGGUGUUGAGAUCCAAUGCAUCAAAAGGAAGAUUUCUGAUAUAUUUGAAAGUGCAAACCGUCUUAAAAUAGUUGAUUUGGGGAAUACCUCAACAGAAAAUCUUCAAGUUGAUGGUGAACUCCCACAAGAGUAUGGGCCUAUGCACCAGAACUUUGAAGAUGUUGUCAUGGUUGGUUUUGAGGAUGAUUACCAGGAAAUAGUGGGGAAACUACUUGAUAAAGGGGACAGUCUUAGUGUUGUCUCCCUAGUUGCCAUGGGUGGGGCGGGGAAAACAACACUUGCUAGAAAAUUCUACACUUCAACUAGUGCCAAACAACAUUUUGAGAUAGUUUCUUGGGUGACGGUGUCUCAGAAGUACAAAGGAAUUGAUUUACUAAAAGAUAUUCUGAAACAAAUCACUGGAAGCACAUUUAGGUCAGCUGAUCAAAUGCAAGAGUUUGUAGCAAAGCCUUACCAUCAUACAAAAGGUAUGUCAUACAUGAUGUGGAUGAGUUUGAAAAACUUGGGAGAAAGCUUGCAAGGAAAUGUGAUGGAUUACCUAUCAAAGAAUUUAAAUGCACAAACAUGGUCUGAUAUACUAUUGGAUUGGCCAUCGACCAAAAAUGAGCAGAUGAUGUGA